RNAcentral lists this ribosomal RNA (257 nucleotides) under uncultured bacterium. RNAcentral describes it as "partial 16S ribosomal RNA". It matches the Rfam family "Bacterial small subunit ribosomal RNA", at positions 96 to 353 of the family's 1533-position model. The record is from RNAcentral.
UGGCGGACGGGUGAGUAAUGUCUGGGAAACUGCCUGAUGGAGGGGGAUAACUACUGGAAACGGUAGCUAAUACCGCAUAACGUCGCAAGACCAAAGAGGGGGACCUUCGGGCCUCUUGCCAUCGGAUGUGCCCAGAUGGGAUUAGCUAGUAGGUGGGGUAACGGCUCACCUAGGCGACGAUCCCUAGCUGGUCUGAGACGGAUGACCAGCCACACUGGAACUGAGACACGGUCCAGACUCCUACGGGAGGCAGCAUG